UUUGUACUGCACUUCUGUGCGUAAUAUCACCUUCUGCAUAUUACAAUGAGUCAGUUACGAUUAGGAAUGUCAAUGGGUAUGGAUACCCGAAAUAUUAUCCGAGCCCGAAUCCGAACGGGACGGGUUUACCUGAGCUAAAUGGGUAUGGAUUCGGUUAUGGGUAUAGAAAAUAAAAACCCGACGGAUACGGUAUGGAUUUUGUAUUUAUCCGACCCGAACCUGAACCCGACCCGAACCCGAAUAAAUUUUAUAUAUAUAUAUAUAUAUAUAUAUAUAAAUUUAUUUUUAUUUAUUAUAUAAUAUAUAAAAUAUUUAAUAAUUUUUAUUCCUUAGAUUUUCAUUCAAUGGUAUGGAUUUUUAAAACCCGCCGGGUUCGGGUCCGGCCGGGUUCGGGUUUCGAGAUUUUGGUCGGGUUCGGAUAUGGGUAUGAAUUUUUAAAACCCGUCGAGUUCGGGUUCGGGUCCGGGUACGGGUUUUAAUUUGGUUUUCGGGUUUGGGUUCGAGUUUUAAAAAAUCCGACCCAAACCCGACCCGUUGACAUCCCUAGUUACGAUAUAUUUUUUACGAUCCUAUAGAAAAAUAUAGAAGUAUAUAUUUCUAUAUGCUUUCACUCUAACUUUGUUUUGCCUGCUAGCGCUAGAUGGGUCUCAAUACCAAACAGGUUUUCAGAAUUAUCCGAUCGUUAAAACUUUUAAUUUCGGUACCCCAAUUUUUAAAUUCAUUUGAUUUAUCAAAUAGCUCCUUU
Molecule: long non-coding RNA, 745 nt
Filed under: Ananas comosus (pineapple)
Lineage: Eukaryota; Viridiplantae; Streptophyta; Magnoliopsida; Poales; Bromeliaceae
Description: long non-coding RNA (ACOM_LNC030987)
Source: RNAcentral